RNAcentral lists this transfer RNA (77 nucleotides) under Deltaproteobacteria bacterium. RNAcentral's name for it is "tRNA-Cys". It matches the Rfam family "tRNA". Rfam says of the family: Transfer RNA (tRNA) molecules are approximately 80 nucleotides in length. The record is from RNAcentral. Lineage: Bacteria; Pseudomonadati; Myxococcota; Myxococcia.
GGCGACGUAGCCAAGUGGUCUAAGGCCCUGGUUUGCAAAACCAAUAUUCGGCGGUUCGAAUCCGCCCGUCGCCUCCA